Molecule: ribosomal RNA, 253 nt
Filed under: uncultured bacterium
Lineage: Bacteria
Description: partial 16S ribosomal RNA
Rfam family: Bacterial small subunit ribosomal RNA
Source: RNAcentral
UACGGAGGGUGCGAGCGUUGUCCGGAAUCACUGGGCGUAAAGGGCGCGUAGGCGGCGCGGGGAGUCAACGGUGAAAGCUCGGCGCUCAACGCCGAGUCGGCCGUCGAUACUCCCGUGCUCGAGCACUGUAGAGGCAGGUGGAAUUCCGGGUGUAGCGGUGGAAUGCGUAGAGAUCCGGAAGAACACUGGUGGCGAAGGCGGCAUCCUGGGUCAACACUGACGCUGAUGAGCGAAAGCCAGGGGAGCAAACGGG